Molecule: small RNA, 301 nt
Filed under: Pongo abelii (Sumatran orangutan)
Lineage: Eukaryota; Metazoa; Chordata; Mammalia; Primates; Hominidae
Description: processed transcript
Source: RNAcentral
GAGCAGAGACCAUGUCUGACACGGAAGAGGUGGUGGAAGAGUACGAGGAGGAGUGAGUAUCUGGAGCAUCCUGCCUGAGUGGGGCCCUCUCCCCCCGCUGCCCUGACACUUGGUCCAGGAGCCUCCCAGCUGUCCCUAGGAUUCUGGGGAGCAGGAAGAAGCAGCUGUUGAAGAGCAGGAGGAGGCAGCGGAAGAGGAUGCUGAAGCAGAGGCUGAGACUGAGGAGACCAGGGCAGAAGAUGAAGAAGAAGAGGAAGAGAAGGAGGCUGAAGAUGGCCCAAUGGAGGAGUCCAAACCAAAG